UGUUCCAAGCUGUCGCUAACUAUGGCAUAUGACUCUGGAUCUCCAUCAGACCACAGCACAGAGGGAAACACAGUGAUCUGUUUCUGAUGCCAGUAUGCUGACUGAAUCUGAUCUUGUGAUUCAGAAAUUGUGUAGCUGCUGCCUUUACGGCAUCUAGGACAUCACCUAGUGUGCCACUCUUCUGGACCUUAUUUGGCAGCCCUCCGGUAGCUUCCCAUGUGUACCAGGUCACCUUAAUUUGUUUGUCUUCCUCUGGAAUGUGACUAAGAACACUGGUUUCCAGCAGCUUUCCACUCCUGCAUUCAGCACACCGGCCUAACAUGCAGUGAGGACUAUCUGGAUUGCAGGCCACAGCUUUGAUAAAAUCCUGUGUGCUCUGGAAUGCUUGCCUUGGGAUGGCACGUUGCACACAGUCCAGGGCUAAUUUAAGAUCCUCAUGGUAACGGCACAGGCAAACAUUUCUCGGAGUAUCUGAACACCGGAGUACAUGAGAUGGUCGAAGCUCAGCAAAUUUAGAUUUCCCAAUUAUAAACUCCGGAUGUUCACUCUUGAAGCCGCGGUAGGCCUCUAGAAUAGACAUUGUUAAAUGUCGUUUCUGGAUUUUCUUUUUUACUCCUCCCUCUCUGACUGUGAGCACAUCCCUCAUCCCUGGUGCUUGCCUUGAGAUGUCAUCUCUCUCAUAGAACUCCUUGACUUGACCAUAUGUAGUAGUUGUGGUAUUAUUCUUUUUCUCCUGAAGAAGGCACAGUGAUGUUGCAAUUUUUUUUAUAACUAUAAAUUUUUUUCGAGGGCUGCUAGGUAAAGCUUGGAGUGCUCGUUUUACAGCCUUGCCUAGUGACUGUCUUGUUUUAAAAGGUGAAUUUUGUGGAGACUCCUGCAAAGCAGGAACCUGUGACUUCUUUAGAAGACGCCUUUUCCUCUGUCUUUGUCUAGCAAGCUCCCUGACUCUUUCUGCCUCUUGGUUUGAUUGUGUUUCUUUCUUUCUUUGUCUUUCUGCAUUUUUCCUUAUCCUUUCCUUUUC
Molecule: long non-coding RNA, 1021 nt
Organism: Esox lucius (northern pike)
Lineage: Eukaryota; Metazoa; Chordata; Actinopteri; Esociformes; Esocidae
Source: Ensembl